RNAcentral lists this ribosomal RNA (497 nucleotides) under uncultured bacterium. RNAcentral describes it as "partial 16S ribosomal RNA". It matches the Rfam family "Bacterial small subunit ribosomal RNA", at positions 28 to 507 of the family's 1533-position model. The record is from RNAcentral.
GAUGAACGCUGGCGGCGUGCCUAAUACAUGCAAGUCGAGCGAACAGACGAGGAGCUUGCUCCUCUGACGUUAGCGGCGGACGGGUGAGUAACACGUGGAUAACCUACCUAUAAGACUGGGAUAACUUCGGGAAACCGGAGCUAAUACCGGAUAAUAUAUUGAACCGCAUGGUUCAAUAGUGAAAGACGGUUUUGCUGUCACUUAUAGAUGGAUCCGCGCCGCAUUAGCUAGUUGGUAAGGUAACGGCUUACCAAGGCAACGCUGCGUAGCCGACCUGAGAGGGUGAUCGGCCACACUGGAACGGAGACACGGUCCAGACUCCUACGGGAGGCAGCAGUAGGGAAUCUUCCGCAAUGGGCGAAAGCCUGACGGAGCAACGCCGCGUGAGUGAUGAAGGUCUUCGGAUCGUAAAACUCUGUUAUUAGGGAAGAACAAAUGUGUAAGUAACUAUGCACGUCUUGACGGUACCUAAUCAGAAAGCCACGGCUAACUACGUG